CAAGUCGAACGAACUCUGGUAUUGAUUGGUGCUUGCAUCAUGAUUUACAUUUGAGUGAGUGGCGAACUGGUGAGUAACACGUGGGAAACCUGCCCAGAAGCGGGGGAUAACACCUGGAAACAGAUGCUAAUACCGCAUAACAACUUGGACCGCAUGGUCCGAGUUUGAAAGAUGGCUUCGGCUAUCACUUUUGGAUGGUCCCGCGGCGUAUUAGCUAGAUGGUGGGGUAACGGCUCACCAUGGCAAUGAUACGUAGCCGACCUGAGAGGGUAAUCGGCCACAUUGGGACUGAGACACGGCCCAAACUCCUACGGGAGGCAGCAGUAGGGAAUCUUCCACAAUGGACGAAAGUCUGAUGGAGCAACGCCGCGUGAGUGAAGAAGGGUUUCGGCUCGUAAAACUCUGUUGUUAAAGAAGAACAUAUCUGAGAGUAACUGUUCAGGUAUUGACGGUAUUUAACCAGAAAGCCACGGCUAACUACGUGCCAGCAGCCGCGGUAAUACGUAGGUGGCAAGCGUUGUCCGGAUUUAUUGGGCGUAAAGCGAGCGCAGGCGGUUUUUUAAGUCUGAUGUGAAAGCCUUCGGCUCAACCGAAGAAGUGCAUCGGAAACUGGGAAACUUGAGUGCAGAAGAGGACAGUGGAACUCCAUGUGUAGCGGUGAAAUGCGUAGAUAUAUGGAAGAACACCAGUGGCGAAGGCGGCUGUCUGGUCUGUAACUGACGCUGAGGCUCGAAAGUAUGGGUAGCAAACAGGAUUAGAUACCCUGGUAGUCCAUACCGUAAACGAUGAAUGCUAAGUGUUGGAGGGUUUCCGCCCUUCAGUGCUGCAGCUAACGCAUUAAGCAUUCCGCCUGGGGAGUACGGCCGCAAGGCUGAAACUCAAAGGAAUUGACGGGGGCCCGCACAAGCGGUGGAGCAUGUGGUUUAAUUCGAAGCUACGCGAAGAACCUUACCAGGUCUUGACAUACUAUGCAAAUCUAAGAGAUUAGACGUUCCCUUCGGGGACAUGGAUACAGGUGGUGCAUGGUUGUCGUCAGCUCGUGUCGUGAGAUGUUGGGUUAAGUCCCGCAACGAGCGCAACCCUUAUUAUCAGUUGCCAGCAUUAAGUUGGGCACUCUGGUGAGACUGCCGGUGACAAACCGGAGGAAGGUGGGGAUGACGUCAAAUCAUCAUGCCCCUUAUGACCUGGGCUACACACGUGCUACAAUGGAUGGUACAACGAGUUGCGAACUCGCGAGAGUAAGCUAAUCUCUUAAAGCCAUUCUCAGUUCGGAUUGUAGGCUGCAACUCGCCUACAUGAAGUCGGAAUCGCUAGUAAUCGCGGAUCAGCAUGCCGCGGUGAAUACGUUCCCGGGCCUUGUACACACCGCCCGUCACACCAUGAGAGUUUGUAACACCCAAAGUCGGUGGGGUAACCUUUUAGGAACCAGCCG
This 1432-nucleotide ribosomal RNA is filed under the name Lactiplantibacillus pentosus. RNAcentral describes it as "bacterial SSU rRNA". It matches the Rfam family "Bacterial small subunit ribosomal RNA". Lineage: Bacteria; Bacillati; Bacillota; Bacilli; Lactobacillales; Lactobacillaceae. RNAcentral also lists the same sequence under 2 other names. The record is from RNAcentral.